CUUUCUUCAAAGUAUGGUAACUAAUGAUGUUUUUUUCCGGUGGGGACGGGACUUUUAUUUUGACGUUAAAAAUGACUUCCGUUGUAUUUCCUUGUGUAUUAAUGCUGGGUCGUACCAAAUCGAAACGAAACCACAGUGCCACGAGAGCGCUAGCUCAGUCUGUAGCUCAGUCUGUAGCUAUGACGCGUCUAAACAGAUUACUCCAGUGCAACACGUCCUGACAGCUAGUUACUGCCCAUGCACACCACUAGGUGGCGGUAAACCAUUAAAACCCCCUCUUCUCCCUCCCCCUGAGAGCUACAUAAUGGAAUGAUCCAAACAGCUUAACGUGUUAAUGUGAUCGAAAAACACGAAUUAACCCGCGCCGUGUUAAUGUAAACUAUUAGAGGGGGAAAUCGUACAUGUAAACGAGAAAUUAUAUUUACGUUUUUAUGUAAAUUUAUAUGUAUGUAUUCUAACGAGUUUUAAUUCAUAGCUACAAGUUGUUUGACGCAAGAUGGGAUCCUUUGGAGUGACGUCCUGCCGUAGCCCCUCCCCACGUGACGCGUUAGCUCCACCCACAGGCCUCGUUUCCUGGGCGAUACUGCAUUAGUAUGGAGCUCACAGGAGAGUGGGCUAGGUGAUUAGCCGAGGGUAAAGUGUCAUUCACGUCACGCCUAGCUAGCGAUAUUAUUGUGACUUAUGUCUGUGUUUGUUCGUCGGGAUGAAACGAGGCAUCGAAUUUAUUGACCCGGAAUAUUGGAUCCCGGUCUGUGGAUAAAUCAUUCAUUAGUAGAGUCAUGGCCGGACUGAUCAAGAAGCAGAUCCUCAAGCAUCUUUCCAGGUUUGCUAAGAACCUAUCCCAGAUAAGAUCAACCUGAGCACGUUGAAGGGGGAGGGUCAGCUGACCAAUCUGGAGCUGGAUGAGGAGGUGCUGCAGAACAUGCUGGAUCUGCCACGUGGCUGGCCAUCAACAAGGUCUUCUGCAACAAGGCCACGAUCCGGGUGAGAAGUAGCUCCACUGCACUUACUGUAUCGCCCCAUGUCGGCCUCAUAUCGGCACGGCCUAUAGCCCCGUGUCAGCACGGUGUCAGC
Long non-coding RNA from Ictalurus punctatus (channel catfish), 1074 nucleotides. The record is from Ensembl. Lineage: Eukaryota; Metazoa; Chordata; Actinopteri; Siluriformes; Ictaluridae.